This 364-nucleotide long non-coding RNA is filed under the name Carassius auratus (goldfish). RNAcentral describes it as "lncRNA (ENSCARG00000036398.1)". Lineage: Eukaryota; Metazoa; Chordata; Actinopteri; Cypriniformes; Cyprinidae. The record is from RNAcentral.
AUGGAGCAGUUCCCUCUUUGUCUGGAGAAGGCGUUGUUUAUAGACCACAACCGCAUGGCCUCCAGUGGCAUGGAGUGGAGGGUCACAAUGUGUUCCCCCAUCAUAUCCACAAAAUGGAUGACAAUAAGAGAUCAUUCAUCUCAAUCACUCACUGUUGGACCAGAGUCAUCCAAAUCCCUGCUAGUGAGCGCACCUGCCCAGAAUGACGGCCUAAUGAUCAGGAUGCUCCAACUCAUCAUCUUGGCAUAUAGUGGGUGAUGAAGAUGUUUCCACCAGGUGAAACGCUCCUGUUGGUUCAGAUGAAGAGGGGCCUCUACUUAUUAUUGAUUGUAUUGGGAGAAAACUUUUUUUAUUCAUAAUAUAA